UAGCAGUGGGGAAUAUUGCACAAUGGAGGGAACUCUGAUGCAGCGACGCCGCGUGAGUGAAGAAGGUUUUCGGAUCGUAAAACUCUGUCCUUGGUGAAGAAAAGGACGGUAGCCAAGGAGGAAGCCCCGGCUAACUACGUGCCAGCAGCCGCGGUAAUACGUAGGGGGCGAGCGUUGUCCGGAUUUACUGGGCGUAAAGGGUGAGUAGGCGGUAAUAUAUGUCAGGUGUAAAAGAUCAUGGCUUAACCAUGGUUAGCACUUGAAACUGUAUGACUUGAGUGCAGGAGAGGUAAGCGGAAUUCCUAGUGUAGCGGUGAAAUGCGUAGAUAUUAGGAGGAACACCAGUGGCGAAGGCGGCUUACUGGACUGUAACUGACGCUGAGUCACGAAAGCGUGGGUAGCAAACAGGAUUAGAUACCCUGGUAGUCCACGCUGUAAACGAUGAGUGCUAGGUGUUGGGUAGCGAUAUUCAGUGCCGUAGUAAACACAAUAAGCACUCCGCCUGGGGAGUACGUACGCAAGUAUAAAACUCAAAGGAAUUGACGG
RNAcentral lists this ribosomal RNA (546 nucleotides) under uncultured bacterium. RNAcentral describes it as "bacterial SSU rRNA". It matches the Rfam family "Bacterial small subunit ribosomal RNA", at positions 349 to 916 of the family's 1533-position model. The record is from RNAcentral.